UACGUAGGGGGCGAGCGUUGUCCGGAUUUAUUGGGCGUAAAGAGCGUGUAGGCGGCCAGGUAGGUCUGCUGUGAAAACUCGAGGCUCAACCUCGAGACGUCGGCGGAAACCAUCUGGCUAGAGUCCGGAAGAGGAGAGUGGAAUUCUCGGUGUAGCGGUGAAAUGCGCAGAUAUCAGGAGGAACACCGGUGGCGAAGGCGGGUCUCUGGGCCGAUACUGACGCUGAGGAGCGAAAGCGUGGGGAGCGAACAGG
Molecule: ribosomal RNA, 253 nt
Filed under: uncultured bacterium
Lineage: Bacteria
Description: partial 16S ribosomal RNA
Rfam family: Bacterial small subunit ribosomal RNA
Source: RNAcentral